Molecule: ribosomal RNA, 253 nt
Filed under: uncultured bacterium
Lineage: Bacteria
Description: partial 16S ribosomal RNA
Rfam family: Bacterial small subunit ribosomal RNA
Source: RNAcentral
UACAGAGGUCUCAAGCGUUGUUCGGAUUCAUUGGGCGUAAAGGGUGUGUAGGUGGCGCCGUAAGUCGGGUGUGAAAUUUCGGAGCUUAACUCCGAAACUGCAUUCGAUACUGGGGUGCUUGAGGACUGGAGAGGAGACUGGAAUUCAUGGUGUAGCAGUGAAAUGCGUAGAGAUCAUGAGGAAGACCAGUGGCGAAGGCGGGUCUCUGGACAGUUCCUGACACUGAGACACGAAGGCCAGGGGAGCAAACGGG